This 452-nucleotide ribosomal RNA is filed under the name uncultured chicken cecal bacterium. RNAcentral's name for it is "bacterial SSU rRNA". It matches the Rfam family "Bacterial small subunit ribosomal RNA", at positions 49 to 509 of the family's 1533-position model. The record is from RNAcentral.
UAACACAUGGCAAGUCGAACGGACGUUAGAGGUGCUUUGCACCUCGAAAGUUAGUGGCGGACGGGUGAGUAACGCGUGAGCAACCUGCCUUACAGAGGGGGAUAACGUCUGGAAACGGACGCUAAUACCGCAUGAAAUAUUGAUAUGGCAUCAUGUUAAUAUCAAAGGGAAUAACCGCUGUAAGAUGGGCUCGCGUCUGAUUAGCUAGUUGGUAAGGUAACGGCCUACCAAGGCGACGAUCAGUAGCCGAACUGAGAGGUUGAUCGGCCACAUUGGGACUGAGACACGGCCCAGACUCCUACGGGAGGCAGCAGUGGGGGAUAUUGCACAAUGGGGGGAACCCUGAUGCAGCAACGCCGCGUGAGGGAAGAAGGUUUUCGGAUUGUAAACCUCUGUCUUUUGGUGACGAUAAUGACGGUAGCCAAGGAGGAAGCUCCGGCUAACUACGUGCC